Molecule: ribosomal RNA, 619 nt
Filed under: uncultured SAR324 cluster bacterium
Lineage: Bacteria; Deltaproteobacteria
Description: bacterial SSU rRNA
Rfam family: Bacterial small subunit ribosomal RNA
Source: RNAcentral
AUCUGCCCUUCAGUCCGGGACAACUUUCCGAAAGGGGAGCUAAUACCGGAUAACAAUGUUUGACAUAAGUUGGAUAUUUGAAAGCUCCGGCGCUGAUGGAUGAGUCUGCGUCCCAUUAGCUUGUUGGUGCGGUAGUGGCGCACCAAGGCCACGAUGGGUAGCGGGUUUGAGAGGACGAUCCGCCACACUGGAACUGAGACACGGUCCAGACUCCUACGGGAGGCAGCAGUGGGGAAUAUUGCACAAUGGAGGAAACUCUGAUGCAGCAAUGCCGCGUGAGUGAAGAAGGCCCUUGGGUCGUAAAGCUCUUUUAUGGGGGAAGAUGAUGACGGUACCCCAAGAAUAAGCACCGGCUAACUACGUGCCAGCAGCCGCGGUAAUACGUAGGGUGCGAGCGUUGUUCGGAAUUACUGGGCGUAAAGGGCGCGCAGGCGGAGGUGCAAGUCGGAGGUGAAAGCCCGGGGCUCAACCCCGGAGGGUCUUUCGAAACUGCAUCUCUAGAGAGGGUCAGGGGCCGGCAGAAUUCCUGGUGUAGAGGUGAAAUUCGUAGAUAUCAGGAGGAAUACCGGUGGCGAAAGCGGCCGGCUGGGGCCACUCUGACGCUGAGGCGCGAAAGCGU